GACGAACGCUGGCGGCGUGCCUAAUACAUGCAAGUAGAACGCUGAAGGAGGAGCUUGCUCUUCUGGAUGAGUUGCGAACGGGUGAGUAACGCGUAGGUAACCUGCCUGGUAGCGGGGGAUAACUAUUGGAAACGAUAGCUAAUACCGCAUAACAGUAGAUGUUGCAUGACAUUUGCUUAAAAGGUGCAAUUGCACCACUACCAGAUGGACCUGCGUUGUAUUAGCUAGUUGGUGGGGUAACGGCUCACCAAGGCGACGAUACAUAGCCGACCUGAGAGGGGGAGCGGCCACACUGGGACUGAGACACGGCCCAGACUCCUACAGGAGGCAGCAGUAGGGAAUCUUCGGCAAUGGACGGAAGUCUGACCGAGCAACGCCGCGUGAGUGAAGAAGGUUUUCGGAUCGUAAAGCUCUGUUGUAAGGGAAGAACGAGUGUGAGAGUGGAAAGUUCACACUGUGACGGUAUCUGACCAGAAAGGGACGGCUAACUACGUG
RNAcentral lists this ribosomal RNA (495 nucleotides) under uncultured bacterium. Its description in RNAcentral is "partial 16S ribosomal RNA". It matches the Rfam family "Bacterial small subunit ribosomal RNA", at positions 28 to 507 of the family's 1533-position model. The record is from RNAcentral.